Non-coding RNA from Tetraodon nigroviridis (spotted green pufferfish), 46 nucleotides. NCBI's taxonomy places the organism in Eukaryota, Metazoa, Chordata, Actinopteri, Tetraodontiformes, Tetraodontidae. The record is from Rfam.
CUAAAGGCCCUUUUAAGGGCCACCGAAACACCUCACAGAGCAACAU